This 364-nucleotide ribosomal RNA is filed under the name Enterobacter cloacae subsp. cloacae. RNAcentral's name for it is "bacterial SSU rRNA". It matches the Rfam family "Bacterial small subunit ribosomal RNA", at positions 1 to 359 of the family's 1533-position model. Lineage: Bacteria; Pseudomonadati; Pseudomonadota; Gammaproteobacteria; Enterobacterales; Enterobacteriaceae. The record is from RNAcentral.
UUAAAUUGAAGAGUUUGAUCAUGGCUCAGAUUGAACGCUGGCGGCAGGCCUAACACAUGCAAGUCGAACGGUAACAGGAAGCAGCUUGCUGCUUUGCUGACGAGUGGCGGACGGGUGAGUAAUGUCUGGGAAACUGCCUGAUGGAGGGGGAUAACUACUGGAAACGGUAGCUAAUACCGCAUAACGUCGCAAGACCAAAGAGGGGGACCUUCGGGCCUCUUGCCAUCGGAUGUGCCCAGAUGGGAUUAGCUAGUAGGUGGGGUAACGGCUCACCUAGGCGACGAUCCCUAGCUGGUCUGAGAGGAUGACCAGCCACACUGGAACUGAGACACGGUCCAGACUCCUACGGGAGGCAGCAGUGGGG